ACCAGGGGCAAUGCUCGUAGCGGCGAGUGAGCGGCAAAGCUCAAAUUUGGAAUCUGGCGCCUUCGGCGUCCGAGUUGUAAUUUGAAGACUCUAUCUUGGAGUGCGGCUCUGUUGAAUUUCCUUGGAAAAGGACCUCACAGAAGGUGAAAAUCCCGUGGGAAGGCGGCCGCGGACUGUGUAAAUUGGGGUCUACAAGACUAGUUGUUUGGGAAUGCGCCUCUCAGUGGGUGGGAAACUCCCUCUAUAGCUAAAUAUUGGCGAGAGACCCCUAUCGAAAAAGUACACUGAUGUAAAAAUGAAAAAAACUUUUAGAAAAGAGUGAAAAAGUACGUGUAAUUGUUGAAAGGGAAGGGGUUGUGAUCACACAUGCCUUCUUGCAGGCCACCAUCAGCUGGGAGGGGCAGACAAGGGCGCCGCAAUGUGGCCUGGCUUCGGGGAUGUGUUAUAGGAGGCGUCAAUGUGUCCCCUUCCGGCUGAUGACCGCGCUUCUGCAAGGAUGCGGAGGAAACGAACCCCAGCCACCCGUCUUUUGCCACGGACCAUGGCAUAAUUGAUCCCUUAACCAUGUUGUCUUGAAGGACUGUACCAGACCCGUCUUGAAACCACGGGACCC
This 613-nucleotide ribosomal RNA is filed under the name Isabelozyma pseudorhagii. RNAcentral describes it as "LSU rRNA". The stretch from base 1 to 538 matches the Rfam family "Eukaryotic large subunit ribosomal RNA", at positions 64 to 664 of the family's 3401-position model. The record is from RNAcentral. Lineage: Eukaryota; Fungi; Ascomycota; Pichiomycetes; Serinales; Metschnikowiaceae.